Molecule: long non-coding RNA, 645 nt
Organism: Lycium ferocissimum
Lineage: Eukaryota; Viridiplantae; Streptophyta; Magnoliopsida; Solanales; Solanaceae
Exons: 2
Source: RefSeq, a predicted model, not a curated record
AAGCUUGAAGAACAUUAAGAUUUAAGCCAUAGGUAGCUGCUAGUCCUGCUAAACCUGCAAACAGAUGAGACAUGUGACAUCACACACUGAAACCAUUUAUCACAAUGGAAGUAAGAAAAAAACAUUAUCAGAGACUUUCAGCUGCCUGGGAUUUAGUUGACUAACUGCUCCUUGGCCAAGUGGAAGCAGAAUGUGUUAAACUGGAGUCAUGAAAUGGAAAUGGAGAAGAAAUAAAAGCUUACUGGGGUCGAUAGCCUCCCGUGGAAGGUGUGCCAGGAUGACGAGAAGAAAGAAGAAUAUGAGAUUGAAGAGAAAGUUAAUUCGAACGCAGAGCCAUUCCAUUGUAGCAGAGUUGUGAAAGGCAACACGAGAAUAGUUAUCGAUGAGAUUUAAAUUCUUAUUCAAGAAUCGGUCUUCCUGAUUAAAACAACGAAUUGUUGCUACACCGGUGAGAGAUUCAGAGAAAUGAUGCAGGAUUGGAGCUUUCUGAAUGCCGAUCAUCCUUGCCAGUUCUCUAGCAGUGGUAAUGUAAUAUGCCUGUAGUAAGAAUUGUAUUAUUAGCACUAAGACCAUACUUAUGAGAAGUAAAUAUCCAUUGUCUGCAUUCUAAUUUAGCAGUGAUACAAAAGAAAUAUUUAAAAGAAA